RNAcentral lists this ribosomal RNA (253 nucleotides) under uncultured bacterium. Its description in RNAcentral is "partial 16S ribosomal RNA". It matches the Rfam family "Bacterial small subunit ribosomal RNA", at positions 524 to 776 of the family's 1533-position model. The record is from RNAcentral.
UACGGAGGGUGCGAGCGUUGUCCGGAUUUAUUGGGUUUAAAGGGUGCGUAGGUGGCUGUUUAAGUCAGUGGUGAAAUACGGUUGCUCAACAAUCGAGGUGCCAUUGAUACUGAAUAGCUUGAAAUAAUUGGAGGCUGCCGGAAUGGAUGGUGUAGCGGUGAAAUGCAUAGAUAUCAUCCAGAACACCGAUUGCGAAGGCAGGUGGCUACGAUUGGUUUGACACUGAGGCACGAAAGCAUGGGGAGCAAAAGGG